AAGAGACAGCAGCAGCCGCGGUAAUACAGAGGGUGCGAGCGUUAAUCGGAUUUACUGGGCGUAAAGCGUGCGUAGGCGGCUUUUUAAGUCGGAUGUGAAAUCCCUGAGCUUAACUUAGGAAUUGCAUUCGAUACUGGGAAGCUAGAGUAUGGGAGAGGAUGGUAGAAUUCCAGGUGUAGCGGUGAAAUGCGUAGAGAUCUGGAGGAAUACCGAUGGCGAAGGCAGCCAUCUGGCCUAAUACUGACGCUGAGGUACGAAAGCAUGGGGAGCAAACAGGAUUAGAUAACCCCGUAGUCCCUGUCUCUUAUAU
RNAcentral lists this ribosomal RNA (310 nucleotides) under uncultured bacterium. RNAcentral describes it as "partial 16S ribosomal RNA". It matches the Rfam family "Bacterial small subunit ribosomal RNA", at positions 503 to 809 of the family's 1533-position model. The record is from RNAcentral.